GAUGAACGCUGGCGGCGUGCCUAAUACAUGCAAGUCGAGCGAACGGACGAGAAGCUUGCUUCUCUGAUGUUAGCGGCGGACGGGUGAGUAACACGUGGAUAACCUACCUAUAAGACUGGGAUAACUUCGGGAAACCGGAGCUAAUACCGGAUAUUAUUUGGACCGGAUGGGUCAAAAGGAAAAGGCGGGCUUGGUGGCAAUUAUUAGUGGGUCCGCGCUGCAUUAGCUAGUUGGUAAGGUAACGGCUUACCAAGGCAACGAUGCAUAGCCGACCUGAGAGGGUGAUCGGCCACACUGGAACUGAGACACGGUCCAGACUCCUACGGGAGGCAGCAGUAGGGAAUCUUCCGCAAUGGGCGAAAGCCUGACGGAGCAACGCCGCGUGAGUGAUGAAGGUCUUCGGAUCGUAAAACUCUGUUAUUAGGGAAGAACAUAUGUGUAAGUAACUGUGCACAUCUUGACGGUACCUAAUCAGAAAGCCACGGCUAACUACGUG
RNAcentral lists this ribosomal RNA (496 nucleotides) under uncultured bacterium. RNAcentral's name for it is "partial 16S ribosomal RNA". It matches the Rfam family "Bacterial small subunit ribosomal RNA", at positions 28 to 507 of the family's 1533-position model. The record is from RNAcentral.